AUGGCCAGAAGCCGCUUAAGAGAUGACAGAUUAGAAGUCAUAGACAUGAGAUCCAGGCUUAGAUUGGCCUCAUCCCAGAGUCUGAGCUCCCCCUACUUUAUUGCACGCUCUCUAUUUGUCAAAGCCCAACAUCUCAAAUGUGAGUGUACUUCUGAGAGAGCAUUGGCGAUAAGGGUGAAGGGGAAGUCCUGUUGUCCUCUGAUGCCACGGUUUUCCCAUGACAUGGCCCAUGAUGGAGGGGAGUUGACUGGAAGCACAUCAAGUGUCCUGUGUCCUUAUCAACACUACACUACCCACCAAUCAGCACUGGGAUUUCUUCAACGUUUGUUACCGGGCUUCUUCAUGAACAAUGGUCUGAGGAGAUAUGUAAGCGAUGAUAUGAGUCAACGCAUCGGAAAAUAUUUUUCAAGUGGUAAUAUGCUGAUCGAAGAUGAAGUGUUAUUCCUGCGGGAGCGUGGAAGGAGGAAAAACGGUCAAGACAAGAGGAAGAUUGCUUUAGUUCAUGCAGCUCUCGUGGGAAAGGUGGGAAGAAAUCAGUGACGAUCUCCAAGAAACAAAGCUCAUUUCCAUUUCUAUGAAUAGGACCAUUUGCGUUACCUUGAACCAGAAACUUCGUCACCGCCAGCAGCCCUCUACAAGGUAACUUUUAUCUCUACAGAGUUGCAAAAUAGGUCAAAGACAGAGAACUUAUAGACUGUCAGAGAAUCAGACAACCCGGAAGUGCCUGCAAGACAACACAAAGAAUUUUUCAAAGGACAUCCAGGAACCUUGCUACUCAUUUUUUUUUUUUAAACAUGGAGCUAAAGUAUCCAGAGUGUAUUCAUUUACUGAUUCACCAUUUUAAUACCACUAAUCUUCACAGGUAGAAACAUUCAGUGAAAAAACAUUGGCUCUCAGGCUUCUUCAAGUAUUAAGCCUUCGUGUUUUCCUGUUUUUAAACUGUACCAGCAAUACAAAAUAUACAGAGUAUUUGUUUAAUACCUUGUUUCAAAGUAUUCAUUUAUUACUUCCAAUAUUUCACACUCAGUAGUUUGUUUUGGUAUGUCUUUGCAGAACUAAUAAUGUUCCAUAAAGCAUUUCUCUUGAGGACUUCUAAUGAGUGCUAUUAACUGAACACUCUUAAUAACAUCUGCAGAUUCAUUCAACUGAAAGAAAGGCAUGUUUUUAUAGUUUCUGGAUCAGUGUUGUCCUAAGUCAUAUAGUAUGUUGACAGUAAGUGCAGUAAUGACACCUUUUCCAUCCCCUAUGCUUCAUUGGUUCAAAACCUAAUAUGUAUUGAUAACUUCAAUACAAGGUGGUAAAAGAAGUGACUCUAAAAUUGUUUGAGGCAUUGUGUAAUCUUUAGCUAUUCAUUCAACUCUCUUGCACCAGUUCCUUAUAACUAAAGUCCUUUCCUGAUUUGGGUUAUGAAGACACAUUUAAAAAUCUAAUCCUUUUGUGUGAGAAAGAGGAAUGUUUUUUAGUAAAUUUUAGUGUCAUUAUUGCUUCAUUUAAUGAUUUUUCCAUGUAAAUAAGAUAUUAGGCUGAAGAAAAAAAGGAUUAAUAGGAUAUAAGACUCCAGAUAGAUAGAUAGAUAGAUCUCGCAGGCUUGUCCUGUGAAUCUGAGACUUUAUAACUUUAAUGAGAAAGUUACCUAUCAUAACAGAAAGAAAAUAAACCUAUUUGAAUGUAAAUUUCUUCA
This 1681-nucleotide long non-coding RNA is filed under the name Sus scrofa (pig). Its description in RNAcentral is "lncRNA (ENSSSCG00050054887.1)". The record is from RNAcentral. Lineage: Eukaryota; Metazoa; Chordata; Mammalia; Artiodactyla; Suidae.